This 542-nucleotide ribosomal RNA is filed under the name uncultured archaeon. RNAcentral's name for it is "bacterial SSU rRNA". It matches the Rfam family "Archaeal small subunit ribosomal RNA", at positions 336 to 879 of the family's 1478-position model. The record is from RNAcentral.
CAGGCGCGAAACCUCUGCAAUAGGCGAAAGCUUGACAGGGUUACUCUGAGUGAUGUCCGCUAAGGGCAUCUUUUGGCGCUUCUAAAAAUAGUGUAGAAUAAGGGGUGGGCAAGUCUGGUGUCAGCCGCCGCGGUAAUACCAGCACCCCGAGUGGUCGGGACGAUUAUUGGGCCUAAAGCAUCCGUAGCCGGUUCUGCAAGUCUUCCGUUAAAUCCACCUGCUCAACAGAUGGGCUGCGGAGGAUACUACAGGGCUAGGAGGCGGGAGAGGCAAGCGGUACUCAGUGGGUAGGGGUAAAAUCCUCUGAUCCACUGAAGACCACCAGUGGCGAAGGCGGCUUGCCAGAACGCGCUCGACGGUGAGGGAUGAAAGCUGGGGGAGCAAACCGGAUUAGAUACCCGGGUAGUCCCAGCUGUAAACGAUGCAGACUCGGUUGAUGGGUUGGCUUCNAGCCAACCCAGUGCCGCAGGGAAGCCGUUAAGUCUGCCGCCUGGGGAGUACGGUCGCGAGACUGAAACUUAAAGGAAUUGGCGGGGGAGCAC